Molecule: ribosomal RNA, 458 nt
Filed under: Dendrobaena sp. MPL-2014
Lineage: Eukaryota; Metazoa; Annelida; Clitellata; Crassiclitellata; Lumbricidae
Description: partial 16S ribosomal RNA
Source: RNAcentral
AUUUUAAUCUAUCUUAUAAUAAAUAUAUAAUAAAAACAAUUAAAUUAAAACAUAUAAUAAAUUAGUACUAUAAAGGAACUUUUAAUAAACUAAAGUAGUGUUUUAAUCACAUACCUUGUGCAUUAUGGUUUUACAAGAUACAAAUUUAUAAAAUUUUUUUCCCGAAUUCUACGAGAGCUGUUUUAUCAUAGCUUAGAGCCCACUACUAGUUGUGGCAUCAACUUUAAAAAAUGAUAUAGCAGAGGCUACAUACCAUUCGCGCUAGAAAAUUGCUGGUUCUUGACAAAAAUUAUUAAUUAAAGCAUGAAAAAAAAAAAUUCAAUGUAAAAUUAUAGAGGAUAAGCCCUAUAAUUUAAAGCUACAUACAAAAAUUUUUAGAUUGUAGGCCUAAAACCAGCCAUUAAAAUUACUUUACCGUAAAUAACUAUAAAUAUUUAAAUAAAUUGCCCCAAUAAGUC